Molecule: ribosomal RNA, 581 nt
Filed under: uncultured bacterium
Lineage: Bacteria
Description: partial 16S ribosomal RNA
Rfam family: Bacterial small subunit ribosomal RNA
Source: RNAcentral
UGGGGAAUAUUGCACAAUGGGCGCAAGCCUGAUGCAGCCAUGCCGCGUGUGUGAAGAAGGCCUUCGGGUUGUAAAGCACUUUCAGCGAGGAGGAAGGUGGUGAACUUAAUACGUUCAUCAAUUGACGUUACUCGCAGAAGAAGCACCGGCUAACUCCGUGCCAGCAGUCGCGGUAAUACGGAGGGUGCAAGCGUUAAUCGGAAUUACUGGGCGUAAAGCGCAUGCAGGCGGUUUGUUAAGUCAGAUGUGAAAUCCCCGGGCUCAACCUGGGAACUGCAUUUGAAACUGGCAAGCUAGAGUCUCGUAGAGGGGGGUAGAAUUCCAGGUGUAGCGGUGAAAUGCGUAGAGAUCUGGAGGAAUACCGGUGGCGAAGGCGGCCCCCUGGACGAAGACUGACGCUCAGGUGCGAAAGCGUGGGGAGCAAACAGGAUUAGAUACCCUGGUAGUCCACGCUGUAAACGAUGUCGAUUUUGGAGGUUGUGCCCUUGAGGCGUGGCUUCCGGAGCUAACGCGUUAAAUCGACCGCCUGGGGAGUACGGCCGCAAGGUUAAAACUCAAAUGAAUUGACGGGGUCAUAGCUG